AGCGAAGGGGACGCCUGAAGACUC
RNAcentral lists this microRNA (24 nucleotides) under Carica papaya (papaya). RNAcentral's name for it is "cpa-miR8149". Lineage: Eukaryota; Viridiplantae; Streptophyta; Magnoliopsida; Brassicales; Caricaceae. The record is from miRBase by way of RNAcentral.